This is a non-coding RNA of Phascolarctos cinereus (koala), 180 nucleotides long. Lineage: Eukaryota; Metazoa; Chordata; Mammalia; Diprotodontia; Phascolarctidae. The record is from RefSeq and is a predicted model, not a curated record.
GUGCCCCGUAGCUUGAGCGCACAGUCCAAAGCUAGCUCCAGAGGGGAAGCUACCGGCUCACUGCAAGGAAUCCAGGAUACUUGUCCAUCCUGGGACUGUCCAGAAGAGAAGAAAGCAAAGGCCUAGGACAAAGUGCAACCUCUAUUUGCUAGGUGGCACGGUGAACAGAGCACGAGGCCG